GUCCAUCUAUCGACAAAAUCCGCAAUCACUUAGUUGGCAACCCAAUACUACGCAUUAUAUCUACUACGCAUUAUUAUAAAAUUGUAAAUUUGUUUAGACUUGACGAAUAUAAAAACAUUGACGAAUCUUACGUCAAAUGUGAUGCAGCAAUGAUAAUGGACAAAAAAUCGGAUCGAUUAAUUUUUGCGAUACUGUGCUCACAUGUAUUACGAGCAAGAGAUGAUAGAGCAAAAAAAUUCUUAACUCUCCUCAGCACAUUUGGGGUUCAUUGUCGAUCACAAAUUUUUUUCUAAAGAGCUCGUCUUGACCGCUGUGGAAGAUACACGUUUUUAAAAAUUCCCCAAAUUGUUCAACGACGCCAAAAAAUCGCCAAAAAGUUACAUCUUUCAUAACAUGUGCGGAAUACCAUUCGUGGAUUAUGGAUGAGAGGAAUACGAAGAAAGAGGAAUUAAAGAGAUGGUGGUUCUCGGAUUCUUAAGAAACUAUGCUCGUCGCGUACAAGAGAAGCGAAGUAAAAAGAGACUUCUUGAGAGCAAUCAUUAUCGAAGCAUCAGUUUAGAAUACCCCAAUUAUCGAACGAAGUUCGAGGAUCUUGUAUCAUGGUGAGGGAAGGGAUAUGAAAGAUGCCCAAAAUAAUUGUGUCCUGAAAGAAAUAACAUACAGUAACCAAAAGAAGAAAAGACUGCAUUGCCUGUUCUGUGAAAGUUGUCAUAUUCAGGCAAUGGUGCUGCGAAUGAAAAUAUAAAAA
Vespa mandarinia (Asian giant hornet) is the source of this 748-nucleotide long non-coding RNA. The record is from RefSeq and is a predicted model, not a curated record. NCBI's taxonomy places the organism in Eukaryota, Metazoa, Arthropoda, Insecta, Hymenoptera, Vespidae.